GCCCAGACCCCUACGGGAGGCAGCGGUCGGGAAUAUUGCGCAAUGGAGGAAACUCUGACGCAGUGACGCCGCGUAUAGGAAGAAGGUUUUCGGAUUGUAAACUAUUGUCAUUAGGGAAGAAAAAAGACAGUACCUAAGGAGGAAGCUCCGGCUAACUACGUGCCAGCAGCCGCGGUAAUACGUAGGGAGCGAGCGUUAUCCGGAAUUAUUGGGUGUAAAGGGUGCGUAGACGGGAAAAUAAGUUAGUUGUGAAAUCCCUCGGCUCAACUGAGGAACUGCAACUAAAACUGUAUUUCUUGAGUGCAGGAGAGGAAAGUGGAAUUCCUAGUGUAGCGGUGAAAUGCGUAGAUAUUAGGAGGAACACCAGUGGCGAAGGCGACUUUCUGGACUGUAACUGACGUUGAGACACGAAAGUGUGGGGAGCAAACAGGAUUAGAUACCCUUGUA
RNAcentral lists this ribosomal RNA (447 nucleotides) under uncultured bacterium. Its description in RNAcentral is "bacterial SSU rRNA". It matches the Rfam family "Bacterial small subunit ribosomal RNA", at positions 329 to 792 of the family's 1533-position model. The record is from RNAcentral.